Molecule: ribosomal RNA, 28 nt
Filed under: Eutintinnus pectinis
Lineage: Eukaryota; Ciliophora; Spirotrichea; Tintinnida; Tintinnidae
Description: partial large subunit ribosomal RNA
Source: RNAcentral
AGCACCUGAAGUGAAGUAGGACCACCCC